RNAcentral lists this transfer RNA (97 nucleotides) under Fusarium vanettenii 77-13-4. RNAcentral describes it as "tRNA-Phe for anticodon GAA". It matches the Rfam family "tRNA". Rfam says of the family: Transfer RNA (tRNA) molecules are approximately 80 nucleotides in length. Their secondary structure includes four short double-helical elements and three loops (D, anti-codon, and T loops). Further hydrogen bonds mediate the characteristic L-shaped molecular structure. tRNAs have two regions of fundamental functional importance: the anti-codon, which is responsible for specific mRNA codon recognition, and the 3' end, to which the tRNAs corresponding amino acid is attached (by aminoacyl-tRNA synthetases). tRNAs cope with the degeneracy of the genetic code in two manners: having more than one tRNA (with a specific anti-codon) for a particular amino acid; and 'wobble' base-pairing, i.e. permitting non-standard base-pairing at the 3rd anti-codon position. The record is from Rfam by way of RNAcentral. Lineage: Eukaryota; Fungi; Ascomycota; Sordariomycetes; Hypocreales; Nectriaceae.
GCGGGUUUAGCUCAGUUGGGAGAGCGUCAGACUGAAGUCAAACUUCAAUCAUCUAUUCGAUAUCUGAAGGUCAUGUGUUCGAUCCACAUAAACCGCA